CACACACCAGUGAUGGCGCAGUUACACACUGAGUUUAAAACCCUCCUUUUCCUUUCCCCAUCUACUCUCCUACUGAACUCACUGAAACUUACUCACUCACUGAACCCGAAGCCGGACGUUUAAGGCAUUUAACAGCAGGAAUAAAGACUUUUAUUUGUUUAUUUUUUGGGGGACAAAUCCACAAACAGGACAUCUUGUGUCCAAACGCCGGUUUCCAGUCCCACCACCUCCCCGUGUCCUCCCUACUAUUCAACAACUCCUACCCAAGAGUCUAGCGGAGUGACUUAAGUGGAGUGACUGUGUGCAAAGCAGAAGCCGUUCAGAACUCCAGUACAAGUUCUCAGACGUUCCUCCAACUGUGGACAAUUCCACAAUCACUCUUCAUGUGAUUUUAGUUGAAGACGUGGACAUCUGCAAGGAAAAUUGAUCCAGUUUGUUCAGUUUACAGAAACUCUGUUGUUCUUGAUCUGUGUCUCUGGGGUAUAAAUAUGAAGUUGCACACAUGUAAAAUCCCUUUCAACACAAAAGACCGAAGGUUAUUGAUUCUAAAAAAUACCAUUGUAGAACCCAGUGUGUGUGUGUGUGUGUGUGUGUGUGUGUGUGUGUGGGAAGGAGGACUUUUGACAGAGCUUCAUGCUUCCUUGCUUUUUCUUUCUCUUUCUUUCACCCACAAGCACUUUUCAGCUUGUGCUGUUCACAUAUGUUACACAAAAUACAACCAAAACCAAAAACGCAAAGCCUCUCACUGCCUUCCAGUUUUGGGCAAUUCAAAUUCAAGGCAAGCCUGUUGUGUUUUCCCCCCUAUGAAAAGACAAACAAAACACACCGCAAGAAAAAUCACACGUUCAACUCGCCUAAUCUCCGUCCACAGCUGAGUCUCAACCACACCCCUGCUGCCCCACCUGUGAACACAAUCAGUGCUUGAUUAGUGUCACCUAGUAAAUAGUGAAAAAAUAGUGAUCUAGUCAUCAUCCUCUUACCCAGUAAUGCAUUUGCUUCUGUUCCCACGUCAACCUUCAUGAUAAUUAGUCAAGAAUUGUACUGGGUUUUGUUCCAGCAUAUUAAGUAAUCAUCUUUUCUGGAUUUCAACCUUGUCUUGACCGUUUAUUGAUGAAUUACUGAUGAAUUCCUGUGUAAAAUUGUAAGUGCAUUGUAAGUUAGCUUGUCCAACAGUGGUAUUGUG
Molecule: long non-coding RNA, 1183 nt
Organism: Ictalurus punctatus (channel catfish)
Lineage: Eukaryota; Metazoa; Chordata; Actinopteri; Siluriformes; Ictaluridae
Source: Ensembl